Molecule: ribosomal RNA, 491 nt
Filed under: uncultured Eubacteriales bacterium
Lineage: Bacteria; Bacillati; Bacillota; Clostridia; Eubacteriales
Description: uncultured Clostridiales bacterium partial 16S ribosomal RNA
Source: RNAcentral
CACGUAGUUAGCCGGAGCUUCCUCCUUAGGUACUGUCUUUUUUCUUCCCUAACGACAAUAGUUUACAAUCCGAAAACCUUCUUCCUAUACGCGGCGUCACUGCGUCAGAGUUUCCUCCAUUGCGCAAUAUUCCCGACUGCUGCCUCCCGUAGGAGUCUGGGCCGUAUCUCAGUCCCAAUGUGGCCGUUCAACCUCUCAGUCCGGCUACUGAUCGUUGACUUGGUAGGCCGUUACCCCACCAACUAUCUAAUCAGACGCAAGCCCAUCUGUUAGCGGAUUGCUCCUUUCCCACUAAUAUCAUGUGAUAUCUAUGGCAUAUGCGGUAUUAGCAAUGAUUUCUCAUUGUUAUUCCCCUCUAACAGGCAGGUUGCUUACGUGUUACUCACCAGUCCGCCACUAACCGCUUCAAUUUGUAAACAAAUUGAUUAAGUCCGUUCGACUUGCAUGUCUUAUGUGCGCCGCCAGCGUUAUCCUGAGCCAGGAUCAAACUC